Tinamus guttatus (white-throated tinamou) is the source of this 63-nucleotide non-coding RNA. NCBI's taxonomy places the organism in Eukaryota, Metazoa, Chordata, Aves, Tinamiformes, Tinamidae. The record is from Rfam.
UUUGCAUUUGUGAGGACAGAAGCAUAAACUAUGACCUAGGGGCUUCUGUGUGAUGCUAGCAAA